This 402-nucleotide ribosomal RNA is filed under the name uncultured Candidatus Riegeria sp. RNAcentral describes it as "bacterial SSU rRNA". It matches the Rfam family "Bacterial small subunit ribosomal RNA", at positions 353 to 772 of the family's 1533-position model. The record is from RNAcentral. Lineage: Bacteria; Pseudomonadati; Pseudomonadota; Alphaproteobacteria; Rhodospirillales; Rhodospirillaceae.
AGUGGGGAAUAUUGGACAAUGGAGGCAACUCUGAUCCAGCCAUGCCGCGUGAGUGAUGAAGGCCUUAGGGUUGUAAAGCUCUUUCAGAUGUGACGAUGAUGACGGUAGCAUCAGAAGAAGCCCCGGCUAACUUCGUGCCAGCAGCCGCGGUAAUACGAAGGGGGCUAGCGUUGUUCGGAAUUACUGGGCGUAAAGCGCGCGUAGGCGGCUUGAUCAGUCAGAGGUGAAAUCCCAGGGCUCAACCCUGGAACUGCCUUUGAUACUGUCAAGCUAGAGCUCGGAAGAGGGUGGCGGAAUACCCAGUGUAGAGGUGAAAUUCGUAGAUAUUGGGUAGAACACCAGUGGCGAAGGCGGCCACCUGGUCCGUAGCUGACGCUGAGGUGCGAAAGCGUGGGGAGCAAA